Molecule: ribosomal RNA, 523 nt
Filed under: Fusarium avenaceum
Lineage: Eukaryota; Fungi; Ascomycota; Sordariomycetes; Hypocreales; Nectriaceae
Description: eukaryotic LSU rRNA
Rfam family: 5.8S ribosomal RNA (bases 183-336)
Source: RNAcentral
GGAGUGUUACAGUGCGGAGGAGGUCAUUACCGAGAUUUACAACGCCCUAAGCCCCUGUGGGCGUACCUUAAUGUUGCCUCGGCGGAUCAACCCGCGCCCCGUGAAACGGGACGGCCCGCCAGAGGACCCAAACUCUGAUGUUUCUUGUUGUAACUUCUGAGUAGAACAAGCAAAUGAAUCAAAGCUUUCAACAACGGAUCUCUUGGUUCUGGCAUCGAUGAAGAACGCAGCAAAAUGCGAUAAGUAAUGUGAAUUGCAGAAUUCAGUGAAUCAUCGAAUCUUUGAACGCACAUUGCGCCCGCUGGUAUUCCGGCGGGCAUGCCUGUUCGAGCGUCAUUUCUACCCUCAAGCCCCCGGGUUUGGUGUUGGGGAUCGGCUCUGCCUUCUGGCGGUGCCGCCCCCGAAAUACAUUGGCGGUACUCGCUGCAGCCUCCAUUGCGUAGUAGCUAACACCUCGCUUCUGGGACGCGGCGCGGCCAUGCCGUAAAACCCCAACUUCUGAAUGUGACCCUCGGAUCAGGUA